CCUACGGGAGGCAGCAGUGAGGAAUAUUGGUCAAUGGGCGCAAGCCUGAACCAGCCAAGUCGCGUGAGGGAUGACGGUCCUAUGGAUUGUAAACCUCUUUUGUCGGGGAGCAAGGCCCGCCACGUGUGGCGGGAAGGAGAGUACCCGAAGAAAAAGCAUCGGCUAACUCCGGGCCAGCAGCCGCGGUAAUACGGAGGAUGGGAGCGUUAUCCGGAUUUAUUGGGUUUAAAGGGUGCGUAGGCGGAAGGUUAAGUCAGCGGUAAAAUGUCGGUGCUCAACACCGGCCUGCCGUUGAAACUGGUCUUCUUGAGUGAGCGAGAAGUAUGCGGAAUGCGUGGUGUAGCGGUGAAAUGCAUAGAUAUCACGCAGAACUCCGAUUGCGAAGGCAGCAUACCGGCGCUCAACUGACGCUGAGGCACGAAAGCGUGGGGAUCGAACAGGAUUAGAUACCCUAGUAGUC
This 460-nucleotide ribosomal RNA is filed under the name uncultured bacterium. RNAcentral describes it as "partial 16S ribosomal RNA". It matches the Rfam family "Bacterial small subunit ribosomal RNA", at positions 338 to 795 of the family's 1533-position model. The record is from RNAcentral.